Benincasa hispida (wax gourd) is the source of this 1930-nucleotide long non-coding RNA. RefSeq lists it as uncharacterized. The record is from RefSeq and is a predicted model, not a curated record. Lineage: Eukaryota; Viridiplantae; Streptophyta; Magnoliopsida; Cucurbitales; Cucurbitaceae.
GUUUCCCUCCCUUGAAGUAAGAAUAAAAAUAAAUAAAUAAAAACUCAAAAGCCCUAAACCUCUCUUCCCCCUUCUCUUCUUCGUGGUUCAACCUGAGCAUCUUCAACUUGGUGCUCUUUUGUCCCUUUUUUCCAUUUGAGUUGCUCCCGAACGGCAGCAUGGUGAUCUUCGACUCCAACCACAAUUCGUUUGGCAGAGCUUCAAUAUCCCAUCGAAUACACCCCUAGUCCGCCAAUCACUCUGUCUCGGCGGUGCAAUGAAGAUAGGAAGCCGCGAAUUGGAGUAAUCAAAUGUGAAUGGACCUUACAGCUUCGUAGUGGAACGAAAAGCCCUAGAUCUGUACUACAAAAGCCCUAACUCUCGAAAACCAAUGUGCUACUUCGCAUCCUCGAAUCGGUUCGAUCCGAAAAGUUAUUCUCUCAAUAAUCACUCUCAACCUUAAGUAGAUCCAGAUCAAGGAUUCACCGAGCAAGACGUGUAUGGCGAUGAAGCUGGAGUUGUUCUUCAUGCAACCCUGUACAUUUCCAUGAAUUCUUCCUAUAUAUAGAAGCUCCAUGCAUGAAGAUCAAUAAGGAUGUUGAGAUAUACUUUCUCAAUUGAUAACCCAAAAACCCUACUCUUGUUCUUCAUCAUAUCAACUUGUUUAAGUGUUUCCACCAAACGUUCCAGCUUGAGCAUAGUAGAGAAGAUCUGGAUGGUAGUCCUUUCGUUGUUUCAAGCUCUUUCUUGGUGGAACUCAGUCGAAUUUUUGAAGGAUAUCUUCAAAGAAAUUCAGUGUGAACAAAUGAAAGUAGAUGAAGGGAAGGAGGAGGAAGAAGAACACUCACAAUUAUUGGUUUAGCAUUUGAAGCCUACAUUCACUAUGAAGACAGCCUUAGGAGGAUUUUAUUCAUAUUCUUCGAAAGCAUAAGCAAUGGAGAAUUACAAGAUAAGACUUCAUAAUGCUAUGUUCUUGGUCUCUCUUUUUCAUAUAAAAGUUGAAUUCAUAUAACAUUUAAUGAAAUUAUACACAUGCUUUUUCUAUUUCAUUUCUUUGUAACAUAAUUGAAGUUGAUUGAGGAAUUCAGAGAAAAGAAUUCAAUUAUGGGAUCAACUGAUUUUUGUUCACCGUAGCUAUCGUGGAGCAGAACUUCAGGUUUAGUCCCUUCAAAUUUUGUCAAACACUUUCCAGCUCCCACUCAAAUAUGUUUGGUGAAGUUAGUGAAGAAAAUCAAGUAUGAGGAUUUCCAUGAGCAGCGGAAGGAUCGUUCCAAAUUCUAUUCGAAUUGAACAUAAACAAUUACAGUACAAACGGAAACUAACAGGUCAUGCACAAAACGAAAUUAUAGCAUGCUAACAAGAGUAUCAAGGGAUAGAGGAUGCAUACCUUUGAAGAAAUAUUCUUUAAAAAUCCCUCGAUCAAUCUCCAAGCGUCCAAGAACAUCAACUCUCGAACACAACGACCGAAACAACACGAACAAUAACACAAACACAAUGAACGGCCAACAGCUUCCUCGAACCCAAUCGAACAUAACGAACUAAGUGAGGACACCACUACAAUAGUUACCUUGGUAUUCUCGGUGUGAGAAUCCAGAAGUUGUGGGCUCUGUAUGAACUUGGCUUAAGGAAGAGACAAGAGGACAACAAUCGAGUAGACGAUCGAGCAAGUGGGAGAUAAGAUACUGUCUAUUGUAUAGACGAUAUGCUCAAUCGUUUAAUAAAUGGUAGCCUAUCGUAUAGACUUGUCACUCGAUCGUUUAGCUACGAUCAGUUGAAUGACUAUCGUAUAGUCAAAGGUGCGAUCGUUUAGUCUCUGAAAGACUAUCGCUUGAUGAAACACUUUCACUUGAUAGCUUAUCCAUGAGUUACUUUCCAAAUGAAGUAACACUCCUAAAUUUAGGAAAAUAUUUUUCCUUUUUAUCUCACGAUUACCAUAAAACCACCAAUAACC